RNAcentral lists this ribosomal RNA (433 nucleotides) under uncultured bacterium. RNAcentral describes it as "partial 16S ribosomal RNA". It matches the Rfam family "Bacterial small subunit ribosomal RNA", at positions 29 to 507 of the family's 1533-position model. The record is from RNAcentral.
AACGAGCGCUGGCGGCAUGCCUAACACAUGCAAGUCGAACGAGACCUUCGGGUCUAGUGGCGCACGGGUGCGUAACGCGUGGGAACCUGCCCUUAGGUUCGGAAUAACUCCCCGAAAGGGGUGCUAAUACCGGAUAAUGUCUUCGGACCAAAGAUUUAUCGCCUUUGGAUGGGCCCGCGUUGGAUUAGCUAGUUGGUAGGGUAAAAGCCUACCAAGGCGACGAUCCAUAGCUGGUCUGAGAGGAUGAUCAGCCACACUGGGACUGAGACCCGGCCCAGACUCCUACGGGAGGCAGCAGUGGGGAAUAUUGGACAAUGGGCGAAAGCCUGAUCCAGCAAUGCCGCGUGAGUGAUGAAGGCCUUAGGGUUGUAAAGCUCUUUUACCCGGGAUGAUAAUGACAGUACCGGGAGAAUAAGCUCCGGCUAACUCCGUG